Molecule: transfer-messenger RNA, 342 nt
Filed under: bovine gut metagenome
Rfam family: transfer-messenger RNA
About the family: Bacterial tmRNA, also known as 10Sa RNA or SsrA, is named for its dual tRNA and mRNA-like properties.
Source: RNAcentral
GGGGGUGUAAUAGAUUUGACGGGUAUCUGUUGCCUUUCGGGAGCAAGUACCGGUUGGCCAGGCCGGUUAAAAUAGGGCCACAAAAAUAACUAACGACAAUCAAGUCGCUUGGGCUAACGCUUAGUCCACUGCCUCUUUUCUGUUUCCCGCGCGGAAAAGAAAGGCGGUCAAACACACGGGAUGCUACAGCUUUGGCGCGGCUCGUCCGAGCUGGGUAAGCCAAACGAACCAAACUGGGGACGUGCUGCCUUGCGCUUAGUUCCCAGUACUUAGCAAGGCUAAACUUGUAGUGCCUGACGGGAGAGGAUGUUCGGACGGGGGUGCGAAUCCCCCCACCUCCAC